Molecule: ribosomal RNA, 468 nt
Filed under: uncultured bacterium
Lineage: Bacteria
Description: partial 16S ribosomal RNA
Rfam family: Bacterial small subunit ribosomal RNA
Source: RNAcentral
GACGAACGCUGGCGGCGUGCUUAACACAUGCAAGUCGAACGGAAAGGCCCUGCUUUUGUGGGGUGCUCGAGUGGCGAACGGGUGCGUAACACGUGAGUAACCUGCUCUUGUCUUUGGGAUAACUUAAGGAAACUGGGGCUAAUCCCGGAUAGGAGCUCCUGCUGCAUGGUGGGGGUUGGAAAGUUUCGGCGGGUGGGGAUGGACUCGCGGCUUAUCAGCUUGUUGGUGGGGUAGUGGCUUACCAAGGCAUUGACGGGUAGCCGGCCUGGGUGGGUGACCGGCCACAUUGGGACUGAGAUACGGCCCAGACUCCAACGGGAGGCAGCAGUGGGGAAUAUUGCACAAUGGGCGGAAGCCGGAUGCAGCAACGCCGCGUGCGGGAUGACGGCCUUCGGGUUGUAAACCGCUUUCGCCUGUGACGAAGCGUGAGUGACGGUAAUGGGUAAAGAAGCACCGGCUAACUACGUG